This 375-nucleotide ribosomal RNA is filed under the name Nematoda sp. Its description in RNAcentral is "SSU rRNA". It matches the Rfam family "Eukaryotic small subunit ribosomal RNA", at positions 252 to 626 of the family's 1831-position model. Lineage: Eukaryota; Metazoa; Nematoda. The record is from RNAcentral.
CUGAAUAACCGAGCUGAUCGCACAGUCUUUGAACUGGCGACGCAUCUUUCAAGUGUCUGCCUUAUCAACUUUCGAUGGUAGUUUAUGUGACUACCAUGGUUAUAACGGGUAACGGAGAAUCAGGGUUCGACUCCGGAGAGGGAGCCUGAGAAAUGGCUACCACAUCCAAGGAAGGCAGCAGGCGCGCAAAUUACCCAUUCUCAGAACGAGGAGGUAGUGACGAAAAAUAACGAGGUGGUUCUCAUUGAGGUCCACUAUCGGAAUGAUGACAAUAUAAAUCCUUUACAAAGGAUCUAGCGGAGGGCAAGUCUGGUGCCAGCAGCCGCGGUAAUUCCAGCUCCGCCAGUGUAUACCUAUGCUGCUGCGGUUAAAAAG